AGACAUUGCCAUCGGGGAAGGUAAGAACCUUCGACAAGGUUCGCGCCGAGCGUAGCGAGACAACGACGCGCAGCGGCGGCCCGAAGGGUGAGGAACACAGUGACGAAUAAUCCUUCCCCCACCACCC
Molecule: small RNA, 127 nt
Filed under: Yersinia intermedia
Lineage: Bacteria; Pseudomonadati; Pseudomonadota; Gammaproteobacteria; Enterobacterales; Yersiniaceae
Description: RtT sRNA
Rfam family: RtT RNA
About the family: This family represents a bacterial cis-regulatory element known as RtT RNA. The exact function of RtT is unknown although it is thought that it may be involved in changing the cellular response in relation to amino acid starvation.
Source: RNAcentral